CCUACGGGGGGCAGCAGUUAGGAAUCUUCCACAAUGGGCGAAAGCCUGAUGGAGCGACACUGCGUGAAGGAUGAAGGUCUUAGGAUUGUAAACUUCUGAACUAGGGACGAAAAUGACGGUACCUAGGUAAUAGCACCGGCUAACUCCGUGCCAGCAGCCGCGGUAAUACGGAGGGUGCGAGCGUUAUCCGGAAUCACUGGGCGUAAAGGGUACGUAGGCGGUUUUUUAAGUCCGAUGUCAAAUUUCAGGGCUCAACCCUGAAUCGGCGUUGGAUACUGGAUGACUAGACUACUGGAGAGGUAAGUAGAAUUACCAGUGUAGCGGUGGAAUGCGUAGAUACUGGUAGGAAUACCCAUAGCGAAGGCAGCUUACUGGACAGAUAGUGACGCUAAGGUACGAAAGCGUGGGGAGCAAACAGGAUUAGAUACCCUAGUAGUC
Molecule: ribosomal RNA, 438 nt
Filed under: uncultured Trueperaceae bacterium
Lineage: Bacteria; Thermotogati; Deinococcota; Deinococci; Trueperales; Trueperaceae
Description: bacterial SSU rRNA
Rfam family: Bacterial small subunit ribosomal RNA
Source: RNAcentral